RNAcentral lists this ribosomal RNA (449 nucleotides) under uncultured bacterium. RNAcentral describes it as "partial 16S ribosomal RNA". It matches the Rfam family "Bacterial small subunit ribosomal RNA", at positions 29 to 523 of the family's 1533-position model. The record is from RNAcentral.
AACGAACGCUGGCGGCAGGCCUAACACACGCAAGUCGAACGCUGUAGCAAUACAGAGUGGCCGACGGGUGAGUAACGCGUGGGAACCUUCCCAAUGGAGCGGAAGAGCCCAGGGAAACUUGGGGUAAUACCGCAUAAGCCCUUAGGGGGAAAGAUUUAUCGCCAUCGGAUGGGACCGCGUCGGAUUAGCUAGUUGGUGAGGUAAUGGCUCACCAAGGCAACGAUCCGUAGCUGGUUUGAGAGAAUGACCAGCCACACUGGGACUGAGACACGGCCCAGACUCCUACGGGAGGCAGCAGUGGGGAAUCUUGGACAAUGGGCGCAAGCCUGAUCCAGCCAUGCCGCGUGAGGGACGAAGGCCUUAGGGUUGUAAAGCUCUUUUGCCGGGGACGAUAAUGACGGUACCCGGAGAAUAAGUCCCGGCUAACUUCGUGCCAGCCGCCGCCGUAA